ACAAAUAUAAAUUGUAUUACUUAAUUAAUUUUUCAGGUGUUCUGUUGUAGAUUGGUCACUGAUAAAAAAUAGUAUACAUUUUACUGAAUUAUAGUUUUUUUUUAUUUUAACAUCUCAAGACCGCAAUUGGAUCUCAUCUAUUGCGCGAAUUAUGACUGAAUUUUUUGAAACAAAUGAUUGAAUGAAUUUUGUUAGCUGUGGCUUUAUUAUUCUGAAUUGAUUGGUUCAAAAUGUUCAGUAUUAUCAAAAUAAUUUUAUUCCGUGAACAAUAAUGUAUUUUUUUUGGUUGUUUGCGGAAUUUCAGUUUUUCAUCAUUAUGUAUGUUUUUUUUCUUUCUAUUAAUAUAAUAAACAUGUAAAAUCAUAAUAUUUAUAUGAAUAAUUACUUUCAUUAUUUUUGUUAGUUGUAAUUUAAAAAAAGAUGAGUUUUGAAAACAUACAUAAUGAUUCAACUGACGUGCGCGGCGCUUGCAUAUUUUAAUUUUCGCGCGGAAAGAAAUUAAAUGUUUAGUUUAAAAAAAUUAAGACUAAUGGAAAUUUCAAACAAAUUUUAAUUUGUAACUUAAGUUUAUUACUUACUUGGUUUAUAACUCACUAAUUUUUUUAACAUGAGCAUUUGAUUUUUUUCAUUGUAUUCUAUGAAUAUAGAUAAAGCACUAGUUUACAAUAUUUAAUCUGUAUUUGUUUCGUUUAUAAUUUAUACCCGAUCAUUUAAUUUUGUAUCAUGCCCGGUAUAUGAUGUUAUUACUUAUGGUUAAAUAAUGAACUUUGAAAUUUCUUACAAUGUAGAUAAAUAACAGAUUAAGUAUUGAAACCUAUGUGUUUUUUGGUGAUGAAUAUCCAAUAGCUGUCUUUUAAUUUUUAUAGAGUAAGUUUUACUCAGCAUUAAACAACUAAGUACAUUUUUAUUUAAAUUAGAUCUAUUGUAAAGCAAUUAAAACUAUUCCUACCAUCAAAUAUUUUAAUUUAAUUAAUGAUGAAAAUUUAAUUUGUUUCUAUUUAUUUUAAACUUCUUAUGGUAAAAUUAUAUUUGAAAAAUAUUUAUUAAAAAUUAUCAUAUACAUCUACAGUAGUCUUAGUAAUCUGACCUUUUAUAAAUUCAAUAUUCCCAGUAGGUUAUUCUAAUAUUCUGUUUGUUUUUUUUAAAAUUAUUUUUCAUUCAACUGAUUAAGUUAUAUCAUUUCAGUAAAACGACCUAAUCUAUUACUGUAUUUUAAUUGAUUGUCACAUGUAUAUUAAAUAUUGUGUUCAAUUUCAUAAUGGUUAUUAAAUGUGCAACACUAAAUAAAAACAUUAGAUUAAAUAUAAUUAUUAAAUUAUUAAAAUAAUUUGAUAACAUAAAAUAUUAGUGUUGUGUUACAUUAUUGCUGUUGUUACUUAAGACAUGGUCAUAUAUAUUAUGAUAAUCGUUGAAAUUUUAAAUGUAUAAUAUUUUUAUUACUAAUUUAAGUAUUCAUAAAAUUCCGUGUGCUAUUUCAGCACUACAUCUGACUAUAUGCAUAUUAUUACUGAGAUUACUGCAGUUAUUUUUGUUUAAGAAAAAUGUAUCUUAACUUCUUAUAUUACAAUUUCUAUAUUCUAAAAAUAUUUAUUAUAGUCUUUAGUCUUUACAAUAGAUACACAUAUCAAUAACUUUGAUUCAUCUAGCUGAUGAGAUUUCAUUUAAAGUUUUCAAUGCGCCGAUCUACAACAAAAAGUUACCAAUGUACCUUUCGUUUUUUUUAUCUUUUAUCUACUUUCCUGCAAUUUCUUCUCUUUUUUUUAUCCAAAUGGUUUUCCUGGUUUCGAAAAGUGAUGGACAACCCUGCCUUCCUUAUUAUUGAUGGUACCAUCCGUCAAUUUAUCUAGGUCCAUGAUACGAAAAUGUUGUGUAUUUAGUUGAUGAGGAUGUACGGCGAGUGUGUUCUUAUUUCCUGAAUAGCUACCACCUCAUACAUUAAUAGGUACAAAGUAAUUCACACCUCUUAAAAUCAAAUUUUGUAAACGGGAAAUUACACCAAAAGAACUAAAUUUAUUGGUAACCACUCGCCUCACACUCUCGUAACAAUGGUCUUCUCAACGGUGUCAAUGCCGGUUUCACAAAAAGGGCCAAAAAUUUAUUUUAUUUUUGUUCUAAUAUCAUAAUUCUCCAAAACUUCUUUGAGAAAAUUAUGAUAUUUAAAAGUAUAGCGAUGAUUACUCUAAAGUAUAGAUACUAAAUUUUAAGUUGUCAACAAUCAUAAUUUUCUCUAAUUGAAGUAGGCAAAUACUAGAUGUUAGGAUUUUUUUUUCUUAACAAGUGCAUUUUUUGUUUUUGUUUAUAGGAAUGUGUCAAGGAAUGCGAAGUUAAUGACGAAGCAUGCGCGCUAGUGUACAUUUUCCCUCCUAACACUACUAUUGUGUUAAAAUAUAAAAUAUAAAGUAUGGCUUACGCGCGUUUAGGUCCCUUUAUAAACAUAGUACGAUUUCAAAAAUAUCAGAAUAUUUUUUUGUCGUAUUAUGUAGCAGCGUAGUUGCGCGUUUUGUCUGCUGGCUGUUAAAAUUAUAAUAAAUGCCUUUCCUCCCUUAACUAAAGAAAACUAAAAAUGUUUUAACAAGUUUCCCAUGUAAAAUUAUUUUAGCAGCCUUAACAGACAAAUUUUAGUCUUGGUUUAGACUGGCAUAUUACCUGUCUUCUUCUGCGCUUUCCCAACUUUUUAAAAACUUUUUGGAGAGGAAUUUGUACAUAACACUUUUUUCAAUCUGUUUUUCCGUUUACACUUAAACUAUAAGACACAGCUAUUGCUUUUUAUUAAUUGUUUUUUCUUUUUUUUCCUUUCCUUAAAUUUCCUCUGGGAU
This is a long non-coding RNA of Myzus persicae (green peach aphid), 2816 nucleotides long. RefSeq lists it as uncharacterized. The record is from RefSeq and is a predicted model, not a curated record. The transcript is spliced from 2 exons. Lineage: Eukaryota; Metazoa; Arthropoda; Insecta; Hemiptera; Aphididae.